UAAACCCUAAAAAACAAAAGCCCUACCUCUCUUUUAUCAUUACGGCUCCUUGGCCGUGCCACUAAUAAUAAGGCUAACUAACAAAGU
This 87-nucleotide small RNA is filed under the name Anaerobacillus isosaccharinicus. Its description in RNAcentral is "Anaerobacillus sp. NB2006 BsrC". It matches the Rfam family "BsrC". From Rfam's summary of the family: The 301 nucleotide sequence from Kouji Nakamura has been trimmed to a highly conserved ~85 nucleotide long core to form this family. The record is from Rfam by way of RNAcentral. Lineage: Bacteria; Bacillati; Bacillota; Bacilli; Caryophanales; Bacillaceae.